Molecule: long non-coding RNA, 1281 nt
Organism: Oryzias melastigma (Indian medaka)
Lineage: Eukaryota; Metazoa; Chordata; Actinopteri; Beloniformes; Adrianichthyidae
Exons: 2
Source: RefSeq, a predicted model, not a curated record
GCAAUUCCUCCAAUUGGCCACAAUAUGUCACUGUUUCUCUUGUUGUUCCUCGAACUCUCAUAAUAUCACAUUAUUUUUAGGGCUAAAUAGGUUUUAAAAGAACCGUUUUCACUAAGUGUUGAGAUUUUUUUUAUAAAUUGUUUCCCGUGAUUUGUAUCUCUAUAGGAAGGAAAAAUGUGAUUCUGAACAAGUUAAAGCAGGUUUUUUGUUAGGGAUGUGUGCAUGCAACAUAUUUUAAGGGGAUUUUAAGUAAUCUGGGAGCGAGAAGUGAAAAUCAAAGAGCAGAAGUGAGUUUCAUCAGGCAGAGACUGAGGUGAAACAGAUCAGACCGACAAAGAAACCAGCAUUUUUUUUUUUUCUAAACGUGACGUUUUAUGGAAAAGCGGCGCCAUAAUUAGUAGUAAAGAGAAAGAAUCCUGGACUCAGAAUAAGAAAAGGAAGCUUUUAUUAGAACUGAAGACAGAAACAGGUUGUUAAAUUUCAAAAAUAGCUAUUAUACUUACUUUAUUGUAUUUUUUAAUUUGUUUUAGGUAUUUGUGGAACAGGGGAAUGGCGUCAUUUAUGGAUCUAAUGUCACCAGUUGAUUCAUAGUCACUCCUGAGCUUUAUUUAAUCUGAUUUUAUUUUGAAAAAUCUGCCUGUUUGAGCAUUAUGUACAUGCUGCAAAUAUUUAAAUGUAGAUGUUUUAGAUUUCAGAUUUAAAGUUUUUUACUGCUUCUGAGUGAAAUUUUCCCUGUUUUUUACAUUUAAAUGUCUGAAAUGCUUGGGAGUAGGAAUGCGGUCUUGUUGCUGACUCGUCUGCGCUGUAGGUAUUCGAAGAAUGCAGCUGUCUGUCAGAGACGCAUCGCUUCGUCCCAUUGUUGUGCACGAGACCCAUGAGCGCGUCUUAAGGGCAAGUCUGUGACAACAUCGACGAUCACCUUGUUUUUGACCAGGCCGCACUGCUCCAGCGCCGUCUCCACCCGCCGUUUAUCCGAGAACAUCUUCAGAAGGCUGGAAGACAGAGAGUUAGGUUUGACUGGGCCGAGCCGAAACCUUGAAAAUGUUGGGACAUUUUCUGCUCACUUCUUUAUGGGAAUCUUUCCCUCCUGAUUCAACUGCAGCUUCAGCUUGGAGUACCUGAAACCAACAGACAGGAAGUUGCCAAAAAGUUUGGAAAUACGCAUCUGAUGGUCGCUGAGGAGAUUUACGCUUUGAGGAGGUAGCUGUUUCUCGUUGCAUUCUGGGAAAGGAUGUUUGUGGCCAAACUGAAGAGUUCCUCUGUCCAAAGCUGAAGCAAAAA